AACGAACGCUGGCGGCAUGCCUAACACAUGCAAGUCGAACGAGACCUUCGGGUCUAGUGGCGCACUGGUGCGUAACGCGUGGGAACCUGCCCUUAGGUUCGGAAUAACUCCCCGAAAGGGGUGCUAAUACCGGAUAAUUUCUUCGGACCAAAGAUUUAUCGCCUUUGGAUGGGCGCGAGUUGUAUUAGCUAGUUGGUAGGGUAAAAGCCUACCAAGGCGACGAUCCAUAGCUGGUCUGAGAGGAUGAGCAGCCACACUGGGACUGAGACACGGCCCAGAAUCCUACGGGAGGGAGCAGUGGGGAAUAUUGGAAAAUGGGCGAAGGCAUGAUCCAGCAAUGCCGGGUGAGUGAUGAAGGCCUUAGGGUUGUAAAGCUCUUUUACACGGGAUGAUAAUGACAGUACCGGGAGAAUAAGCUCCGGCUAACUCCGUG
RNAcentral lists this ribosomal RNA (433 nucleotides) under uncultured bacterium. RNAcentral describes it as "partial 16S ribosomal RNA". It matches the Rfam family "Bacterial small subunit ribosomal RNA", at positions 29 to 507 of the family's 1533-position model. The record is from RNAcentral.